UGCCAGCAGGCAGGCAGCAAGGAAGGAAGAAGGGAGGGAGGGAAGGAGGGAGGGAGCAGGGUGGCCAGCACUGGCUGCCUUUGCCCACCACAGCUCUGCCCAGCUUUUGACCCUUCAGGCUUAGUAAUGGAGGUCUUCGAUCUGCAAAUGACAUCAUGCUGUAGGGCUCCUUGGCCCAAGUACUCAAAGGAGUCUUCAGAAAAUUCUGCCUCAAAAGUAUUCCCCUGAAGCUUUCACCUUAAAGGAAGAAACCACACUCAUCUCAGGGAAAGCCAUUCAUCGUGGCUGCAGUCCAGAUGUGAAUAGAUGAAUACUGAUACUUAGCCUAAUAACUUUCUGAAGACUGUAAACAAACUGCUAUCAAUACAACACCAGCAUAGAGAAGUCACAAUGUAUAUUACUCAUUUAUUUCUAAAAUAGCCUACUCAAAUCAGAGUAACUAAUCUCCUUUCCAUUGACUGGGGAGACAUGCAGGUAAGGGUGUCUUAGCCAGGAGCAGAGGCAAUGGUGUAGCCAAUGGUGGAGAAGCCAAAGGUGAUAGAGGUGCAACCAUGCUAGAUGACUAAGGCAAUACAACACAAUGCAGAAUAAUAUACCAGGCAAAAAGCACAGUAGCCCUUAGGACUUGUGGAAAAGGGCUACAAGUCCUAAGGGCAACUGUGCUUUUCCUCCUGAUGGACUGCUCUGCAGUAUGAUUUGGUGGCUGUGGGGAGAUGUUUUGGAGGUGGGAUGCUGAGGGAGAUAUCUUGCUACAUGAGACUACAAAGGGGCAUGCUGUGAUGAGUGAAAAUACUUGUGUUAUGAAUUCAACUAAGAUUUCCCAUUUGUAAUUUUUCCUUUGCUGAAAGUUAAUAGCCUGUAUCAAUAUAGUUCUGACAGUUGAGUUUACAAUCCAAAAUAGCAAGAAAAGUCCUCUUUGUGGUGGCAGACUUACAAAACCUGAGUAACUUGUCCAAACUGCCAACAUGCCCAAGAACUCAAACAAGAACCAUAGUUUGCUUAAAGUUUGAAUGGACCAAGUAACAUUGUGCCAGGUGAAGUAUCUGCAAAUGAAAAGUAAUGCUGCAAAUGCAAUAUCAGCUUUAGUGAACUCUAUCAAACUCCUGAGAGGUCCAGGUGGACAAAGGCUGCUUAAUUUGACUUGGCUGACCUGUCAAAUUUACUCUUGCAAAAGUCCAAUGAAGCUGCAGACACCAAGACUUGUGUAAAUCAAAAUAAUAUUGCUAAUAAAGUCUUAUGGCAGCUUACAGGCUAGUACUUCUAUGAAGAGAAGAACAUUCUACUGCACAAUGAGGAUGCAAUUUUUGCCAGUACCCCUUCCCUUUGCAGCCCCCUGUAUCCCAUAAAAUUGUCCCUGAGGGUCUCCCAAUGCUCUACCUCUUCGCCUAAGUAGAAUGUCUGGAUGCUGCCUUCUGAUACUUGUUACUGCCCUCUAUUAGGUGUUAUUCUUCCGAAACAAUUGUUGUGUCUUGAAAUACCUAGGGAACUAAAGGACUGUCUAGAUGCAUCAUUAUUAUUAUUGCAGAUUACAAUUUGUGAGAUGGACAGAACUCUUCUCACAAGAACUGACAGCCCAAACUACCAGAUAAGGAACUGUUAGAGAAACUUUGGUGAUCUAGAAAGACAGUGUUGUACAAACUGGCCUGGGUAGCAGAUUGCAUCCCAUUGUGUACUUGAAUAAAUAACAACUCUUGCUCCAGGAAAGAAACCACUUCACCAUGAAAAGCAAUACUAUACUACAGAUUCUGAAUAUAUUGUAAACUUCUCUGUUGGGAAGAAAGGACAGAAUUCCCUUUCAUGCUUCAGACAUUCCACACUGUCCUGUGAUGGUUCCAUGAAGGCUUUUUAAAAAACAAACAACAACAACAACAAAACCUUACAUGUAGGGGAAUUUCCCCUCCAGACCUUAUGAAUGCCUUCUCAUGAACUCAAAAUCCCCCCAUUUAUGUACAGCCCUUUUCAUUCUGCUGCACCUCUCCGGAUGUACUGGUGGUUACAUAGUCUCACAGCCAGAGCUGUGGUGGUAGAACACUAUACAACAGAUCAAGAAAGCCCUUUAUAGGAAUCUCUUGGACUUUAUAGACAGAGGCCAAAUUUGGAUGUAAUAGGAGACUGGAGGUCCCUUCACCUCAAGGUUGCAUAACCGCAUGUCCAAAUGCUGGAUACCAGAGCUAAGGGUGAAAAGGGACCCAUGGUUUCCCUCCCCUAACUGCACUUUGAACCAUCAGUCAGAGUGUAGUUUCGCUGCCAGCGUUUUGUGGUGCCAGCGUUAUGUCCUAAUGCUGGCAUUGCAGUUUUGGCCCCAUAGAACUGGAGUUGAGGGAAGAAGCUCCUCCUCUCUGGCCUGAUUGGCUGUGUGGGCUGUCAAGAAGGAAGCCCACACAGCCAGCUCCCCCCACCUCUCUACAGAAUUGCUGACAGCAGAGAGGCAUCUGUCCCCAAUGUCUGGACGCGGAUAAAAAAGCAGGGGAAGGAGGCAUGGAACCAUUGGAACCGCAGUUCCGUAUUACAUGUGAAUUUGCCUAGAGAGUAGCAUGUCUCUUGCAGGAGACAUCCAGGUUGUGGCCAAAUGUGCUUGUUCCUUUCUCCUGCAGACAAUCAGAGUAAUUGAUUCCAAUAAAUGCAGGAACCAGUGCUGCUGUUGAAUUUACAGGCCCCAGAACAUACGUGUAGUUAGCCUUAAUGUACAAGUUUGACUGGGCUUUUAUUUUUAAAAACCUGAAUUUGAGUGGCAAAUGAACAAUUCUCAGACCGGAUGCUUCUCAAAGGUGCCAAGCUUAGCUUAGGAACACAAGAGCAGAAGGUUCCCAGGGCUUUGGAAGUCAUGUUGACUGCAUAAGAGCUACAUGCUGUUUUAUCUUGGCAGAAAAAAUGAGCUGUUAAUGUGUUUGCAUUUGUGAAAAGGACUGUUGUUUGUGAAUAUUUUUUGUGCUGUCUCUGGGAAAGGGAAGACAUAGGAUGGGGUUUGUAGUAAACCCAGAGUUUGCAAUAGUGGAAAAAUUAGGCAGACAAGUGAGGUGUUGAGGGAGAAGUAGCAUGAGUUCUGAAUUUCCUUAAAUUACAAUAAUUUCUUAUUAAAAUACGUGUAUCAUAAUAUAUCCUUAUUGGUAUGAAUGUGUGUUUUAAAGUGUAUGUUAAAUAUGCCUCUUUUCAUAUUAUAAAAGUAGCUGGUUGAGUUCA
Molecule: long non-coding RNA, 3180 nt
Organism: Hemicordylus capensis (graceful crag lizard)
Lineage: Eukaryota; Metazoa; Chordata; Lepidosauria; Squamata; Cordylidae
Exons: 2
Source: RefSeq, a predicted model, not a curated record